ACGAACGCUGGCGGCGUGCUUAACACAUGCAAGUCGAACGGAAAGGCCUCUUUCGGGGGGUACUCGAGUGGCGAACGGGUGAGUAACACGUGAGUAACCUGCCCUUGACUUUGGGAUAACUUCAGGAAACUGGGGCUAAUACCGGAUAGGAGCUCCUGCUGCAUGGUGGGGGUUGGAAAGUUUCGGCGGUUGGGGAUGGACUCGCGGCUUAUCAGCUUGUUGGUGGGGUAGUGGCUUACCAAGGCUUUGACGGGUAGCCGGCCUGAGAGGGUGACCGGCCACAUUGGGACUGAGAUACGGCCCAGGCUCCUACGGGAGGCAGCAGUGGGGAAUAUUGCACAAUGGGUGGAAGCCUGAUGCAGCAACGCCGUGUGCGGGAUGACGGCCUUCGGGUUGUAAACCGCUUUCGCUCAUGACGAAGCUUUGUGUGACGGUAGUGGGUAAAGAAGCACCGGCUAACUACGUG
Molecule: ribosomal RNA, 466 nt
Filed under: uncultured bacterium
Lineage: Bacteria
Description: partial 16S ribosomal RNA
Rfam family: Bacterial small subunit ribosomal RNA
Source: RNAcentral